CAUUAGAUGACUCGAAAGCAAGUACUGGUCUCUUAAACCAUUUUAUAGUAAAUUAGCACUUACUUCUAAUGA
This 72-nucleotide transfer RNA is filed under the name Musca domestica (house fly). RNAcentral's name for it is "tRNA-Lys". Lineage: Eukaryota; Metazoa; Arthropoda; Insecta; Diptera; Muscidae. The record is from RNAcentral.